CCGAGGUUGUUGGUAUCGGAGGGGGUAAUUUUAAAAGAGUUUAGCGCAGCGGAAAUAAUACUCAGAGAGCGUACAGCGUAACAAGUCACAGUUGAAACAAUUUUUCCCUUUUUAAUUUUAAACAAUUUUCUUUCAGAAAAUUUACCAAGCAGAUAACGUGCGUUAAUUAUAAAAUGAGUAUAGGGCAAAAGAAAAUCACACAGGGAUUUU
This 210-nucleotide long non-coding RNA is filed under the name Vigna radiata. Its description in RNAcentral is "long non-coding RNA (VRAD_LNC008984)". Lineage: Eukaryota; Viridiplantae; Streptophyta; Magnoliopsida; Fabales; Fabaceae. The record is from RNAcentral.